Molecule: long non-coding RNA, 11744 nt
Organism: Bombus terrestris (buff-tailed bumblebee)
Lineage: Eukaryota; Metazoa; Arthropoda; Insecta; Hymenoptera; Apidae
Exons: 2
Source: RefSeq, a predicted model, not a curated record
AGUCGAUGCUUUCUCUUGUUCCAUCUAAAGCACACGGUAUUUUCUUACUCUUCUAUUAUUACAUCGAAGGCUAACAGCGUCUCGUGAUAUGCAACAAACUCGAUCGUUUUGCGCAAAGCUGUUGAAGCAUAGGUGACUCGAUAAUCCCAUCUGGCUGAAUGACGCGCACGAUACAGUUUGGUGAAUUCGUCAGCAAGUAAGAAUUCCUCGUAGCCGUUUCAAUUAAUAAUAAUGACUGACAGAAGCCUGAAGAACAAGCUCUUAAAAUCUCCGCCCUUGUCAUAAUUACAAGAACUCGUAGUUGCUGAGUGAAAAAUUUCCAUGCAAAGCUGCCAACCACCAGAAUGUGAUAUCCGUAUGAUUGGCUUCGGGUACGAAUAAUGUCUUUGAACUAAAGUAAGCAAGCAAUAAAGCAGGAUGACGUAAACUAGGCAAGAACUUACCGCUCAUCCUGGUGUAUAUCGUCCUCCUUUUUCUCCAUCCUGCUUUUCCUAUGAAUAUUCCCCGCGUGCAUCUUUUUCUCUAGUUCUUACGCCAUUGUGACGAGACGACGCGACGCCAGAAACGAGGCUGUCUUCGUUCGUAUCGCGUUUUAUCUUCGCUCGUAAACUUCGAUUUCCAAUUAACGAUGUGCCGUUCACGAUCCAAGGACGAGACGGUGUGAAUUUCUUCUUCGGCCGAGUUGGCGAACCGAGUUCACGGGAUAGGAACAUAGAUUCCGCCGUACGGCCUAUUGAAUCCAUUUGGAAUUUUUACUGUAGAGAGAGAGAGAGAGAGAGAGAGAGAGAGAUUUAAUUGAGCUUUUCGAUGUAAAAAAGUGGAUCCGGUUGGUGGUGAAUGGCAAUGAUCAUUCGAGGGGAAAAUGAAAUGGGAAAUUGUUGGACAUGCCUUAGUGGAGCAAUUUCAACCCUUUCGCUAUGGGAACGUUAAAAGGACAGCAACUGUUGCGAAAUAGAAUUAUACAAGAUGCUGUAAUUGUUUGUUGGAAUAAUGGAAUGUAUAUCUUUUCUAAAUUGCUUUUACGAAAUUUAUUUUAACAGCUUGAAGGCGCGUUGUCAAAUUACUUGGAAAUUAGCGAGCGUAAAAUCUCUCUGAUCGUUUAAUAUUAGAACGUACCCCUUUAAAUUGCAAAAAUAGACCGGUUUAGCGAUUAAUACAAAUCAGCUGUAGGCAAGUUUAUAAAUUACCAACUCUACCUGCUAACGUUGGCCAACUGAAACGUGUUAGAAACGUUUGAUGUUUGAGCGUAAUUGCGUCACAUUUUCGUGACCGUUUGGUAACGUUUUCUUUCGCGAACGUCGAUGAAAUUUUUACGGGCCGAUUCGUCGAAACAUCGACUCCCUAGAAACCGUAUAGAAAUCGUAUCUGAUCGAACAACGAUAUCAUCGUUGCACACGAAACACGGAAUCGCAAUCCUUUAGGGCAUGAAUUUCGGUAUUAACGGAGAAAAGAAACUCGUUAACCUGAACGUGAAGUUGAUAUUAUCAUUGUGUAUUAGGAGGAAGGUAGGAAAAAUAUAUGACAGGUUAUAGAAGUAAAAUGGUUUGUACAGGACAUUUGUUGCAGCGCAUGAAGAUAAAAGGUUUACUGCCUUUUAAUGAAAUCACCAGGCUAUAAAUCUAAAUUACCUAUUAAAAAACAUGGCAAUAAUAUAUUUUGCUAUUUAUUACGUGUACUAUCGCAUACACUCGCUAUUUAGAUAUCAUUAGUCGUCUUAACGUUACAAGUCUUUCUAACGUUAGCACCGCUUUUAAUCUAACUUAAUAGACAUACUAAUCGCAGUGGAAAGUUUUGCAUUGUCCGGCAAAUUCGAUCAUCCUAUCAGCUAUAUAAUAGUUUGCAGCCUUUUUAUAGUACACUGACGCAGUAGCAAAAUGUGCAAUUACACUUUUUUUUUUUUUUUUUAAUGGAACCCUACAAUUUUUCUUUCGUUCAAAUUCAAUUUAUUAAAUCGAUUCCCCGUAUCAUCCUGCGUACAAAAGAUAAUAAUAGGCUUCUGAUGUAGAAAUGAACUUUCAAAGAAGCAAAGGUCAGCUGACUAACGGAUACCGUACAACGUAUUUAGAGAAACGACUAUUGCGUUGGCGUUUACGAUAAAUAACGAUGUCGUGAGAAGGAGAUAUCCAACAAUGUUGCCGCAGAAUUUUAUAAAAGCACGACUUUUUAAUUUUAUGAUUCGUUUGGACAGGUGGUUGUACGAAGCUUCGUACGAUCUCAGCAACCAUCUAUUUUUAUAAUUUACCAAAUUACCAAGCAACCUAAUUUUCUAAAUAUCCAGUGCAUUGACAAUUAGAGGGUCCUCUUGUUUGUAUGAUCGAUUCGUAUUCUACAAAAAUUUACGAUCGCAAUAAUCGAUAUUUUGUGAAAGACGUAUACAUUCUAAGGUAACUUUGGUCUCAAGAUUAUCGUAAAGUAUACAUGAACCGCUUACGAAAUUUAAUUACUCGCGAGUAAUUAUAAACGCUUAGAAAAUUAGUACUUCUCCUUGCUAUUCUUGUUUUACAAUUAUUCAAUUUUCGUUUCCCUUUUCGCAACCAGCUUAAUAACCACUUUCAUAAUGUUUCACGAGACCGACCAUAAAAGAUUUACAUUUACUCUAUAUAAUUUGAAUGAAUAUUUCACGAAACUUUCUAUUAAUUACAGCAACAAUAGCCUACUCGUAAAUCGAUAUUAGAAUUACAAAUCUACGAGUUCUCAUUGCCUAAGGUAAAUAGAAUACUAAAUUUAAAGAAGCUGGAAAUUUGUUCACGAUCAUUCGUAUGACCGUAAACCUUUUUUCAAUUUCUUUCUCCAAAAUAUUCUAUGCUAUAAGAUCUGAAACUAUACUAAAUCUACGAAAAAUCUUCACCUUGCAAAUAAAUAAAAUAUCGAUAUAGAAAAAGUUAGAUUCCCAUCUAAGAUUACUGGCACGAGUAAAAUAUUAACGCGAUAUUUCUAAUAUCUUUCAAAAUAUUUUAUCCUACGCAAGCUGAACAAGCGUUCGCGAAGAUCGGUUGCGAAAUCUAUUUAAUUUUCACGAAAUUUACCUAUCGUUUGAACAAUUUCUCAUUACACGCCGCGUUUCACGGUGGCUAUGACUUUUACGAACUCUUACGGACAUAAAGAAAAACCGUGAUUUUUAGAAAAUUUACCACGCCGUUUACGAUCGUCGCUGUUUCGCAAACGACACUGUGCAAGAAUUUCAACCAAGUUUUAUGAAUUCGAGCGCAACUUUCGAGGAAUUCCCCGUCGUGCUUUUACGAUUCCACAAUCGAUUCGAUCGGACAUUUUUACGAACUAACAUGAAAUGUACAUGAUUUUCAAAAAAUUUAUUCCUCGUCUUACUCUCUAUAUCGCGAUCAUUCGCAAAGCAUUUAUGGUUUCAUACAGGAGACAAUUUACGGCUCUGUUGAAAUAUACGUCGUAAUCUUGCUAUUAUUUUUGCGUAAUUUCGUACCAACGAUGUGUCGUUUAAAUUGUUAACCAAUCGAGAAAAAAAAAAGAUCUUCAAACAUAUUUUUUCGCAUUCACGUCGCAUUUUUCCUGUGGCUUCCAGUUAGCGGUUAGAACAGUCGGUUUCUACAAAACGCUCGGUUUCUCUAAAAACAACGUCCACUCUCUUUGCAUCUUCAUUCGCGGUUGGAAAAUUAGACCAACAAACACGGUGUAUUUUCAAUUUUUCCUCGCACUUUCCUCCAACUUCUAGCCUAAAGCCUUGCAAAGUUGAUCGACGAACAGAGUUUAGAAAUGUUCAGGACCACGUUCGUACGUGUUUCGCGAAUCGUUCAGACUUCCGGCUAUCACGCCGUACAUAUAUGGAAGGCAAUCUUCUCGAAGAAUCGUUCGGAAAAGUUGCUUCUGUUGCAAAGGACGUCGCUCUAUUUGUGGUCAUUCCUCUUGCGGUCGCGGAAAACUGGUAGCGGUUGUGGUUAAGCGGACGAUUUGACGGAUACUGCGAGACAAUGUUAUUCGCAGCGGCUUCGCUUGUGGUCAUGAGAUUAGUGUGCAACUUACACACAGGUUUUGGAAUUGUUUCUCUGCGGAUUGAUUUUAUGCAGGUAGAUUUAGUUUCGUCGGGAAUCAGCCUAAGUGUCUUGUAGAUUGCCAGUGUUGGUGGCAUUCGUGGGGUUUAGAGGUGCGUUUCGUGUGCCAAACGUUUAAGUACAUUUUUCUUCUCGACUAUUUCGUUCCACGUAUAAGCAUUUCGACUUUGUGGUUACGUAUAACGGCGAGUAUGUCAAUACGGAAGAUAUGGAAUUCUACUAAAUUCAGAUUGAGUUAGGUCGUUAUUAUUAGACGAAAUAAAAAUUUGGAAAUUAUUUCGCAUUUGUGCUGCUUCGAGGUACAUGUGUGCAUUUUGUAGGACUUCAGUGUAUUUAAAAGUCGUCUUUCUAUUUUAUACAAGAAGAGAUAAAGAUCAAACUUUUCGAGAUCAAAGAGAUCAAAUUUAAUUCGGUUUGGAGAACACUGUGAUGGAAGAUAAAUUUUAGUGAAAAAUCCUGUACGCAAUUCAUAAAAUCCUCUACAUAAAUACGAAGCUUAGGUAUCAUUUCCUAUAUAUUUAUCUCGUAAGGGAAGGGGAAAGUAUUUCGUAUCGCUUUUUUCCCACGAAGUAUCUCGUGUUAUUUUCAAAGGAUAUUCUACGUGAAAUAGAAAUUUUGCAGAUUGAUAGCGAAUGUCCCUUCUUUCUCCCGUUUCCUUCUCCUUUGCUCACGCUAUUAUUCAGUAGUUAUAAAUCUUCUUCAAACACUGACAUCCUCUGCCAACUUCCUUUGCACGCACCUGCCUCGAUCUACCCAAGAUUUAUCACCGCGCCUAUCACUGUUUCAACCACUAACAGCCUUUCACGACGGCAAAUUACCCUAAUCUGAUCCACAUUCGCAAGUGGAACAUCGGCGACCAGCAACGACCCCAAAGUCUAUCGUUCGAAUCCUCGAACAUAGCAAAUUUUAUCUCGCGCGUAAUGGAACCGGUCCGUUUUAUCGGUUAUUGAUAAUUUACUACCUUGUAGUUAUCAAGCCGCAAUUUCGCGGCUCUUCGUCGCGAGCCAACAGAACCAACUAGUUGGUCUAGCCGAGAGACGUACGGAGAUUAAAAUUUUCAGAACGAUUUCCUUUCCGGGUUAUGUUUCUUUUCGUUUCUACCGGUCGCUCGCACCGUUUCGCUAGUUUCCGCAAAAAAAGAAAGGAAAAUGUUCCAUAAUCGACCGAGCAGGUAUCGUUUUCUCGCAGGUGCACGCGAUGGUAUCGUAGAUCGGUGCUCGUAACUUUGUCAGAAACUGCCUAUCGAGAAUAACAGAAGGCAACUCGCCUGGCCUUUGAAGUAUAGUUGCAGGUGAGAUUUCCAUUGAUCUUCUAGCUGCCUGCUGCUACGUUUCACCGGUAUCAUUAGUCAGUUUUAUGAACUAAAUCGUGACAGAGAGGAAACCGAUACGACCGUGACACUUUGGUCCGGAGAUCGCGACCGAUCGCCAUAGGAAUUCGACCAGCUAGCGAUUUACUGUUUCUCAUCGUGAAAUAUUAUCAAUAGCGUUCUACACGCCGACCGUUCUUUACCGAUUCGGUCGGAUAAUGUCAAGGUAAUUGCUGAUCGAAGGAUAGGCAUCGGUCGCUCUUUAACUUCUUCCAUUCCAUCGCCUUUGCCUCGCAGCGAUUAUCCUCUUCGAGAUAACGCGUGAACGAUAAUUAACUGUGGAGCGUACGUUUCCGUAUAGUUGACAUUUUCAAUGGUCCAAGUGGUCCGCAUUUGAAAUUUAAUCGAUAAAUUAGAAGGAUCAUAAAAUCCACUCGACAUCGACAUCUGUCAACGAGAUGCUGGAAAUGGCCGCGAAAGACGAGAAAAUUCCAGGAAAAGAUGUAUCAACGUCAUCCAGAGCAUCGUUUAUGAUAUUCACUGAAACCAGACUGCUCUCAACUCGCGCGUUUCUUCCAUCCACGUUACAUCCAGUAGCCGAACGUUAAUGUAGCAGAGUUCCUGCUAAGUUUUCUCGUUGAUCGAGUGGCUGACAUUAUCGAAGGGUGAUGUGGUAAUUCGCCGAGCCUGCUAUUAAUGACGCGUAGCCAAUUUACCAUUGCAGGCUGCCAUGACGAUUGCAAGGUGACCAGUGACGUCGAGGUCCGUUACUUUCGUUCUAACGAUAUCUCGUUGCACUAACGACGGGAAAUUCUUUCCAUCUUUUCUUCCAGUCUAUGGGAGGGAAGACGCGCUUCGCGUCAUCCACGAUGAAUUAGUCAACUGGCAAGAACGUGUUGCUGGCUGAUUGCUGCCUCGGUUAGCGGCGAGAUAACUCUCUCGUUGUUAGUGUGUUAUCGACUCGUAAUUCGAAGGUGGGCUGUUAACGCGAUCGGUCUUCGCUUCGCUGUGUUUUCCAAUUUAUCUUUCCCGGAACUCGAAUCUUUUCUAUCGUCGCUUUUCAUAAAAAAAAUCGCGAAAAAAUAGGAAAAGAGUCACCUAUGCUUCGCCGUAUAAUCUUUUCUUUUAUCCUCGUACGCACUCCGACAACAAUUUCAAGAAUUAAUUAGCAAACGGGUAGUCACAAGGUCUAAAUAACCAUGACACCAUGCGCGUGGUCGUACCAAAUGGAACCAAAGUAAAAUCUGAAGAAGGCGACCCAUUGCCGUUAAACGCACAUUACCAUCGAAACCAAAAAUUGGAUGUUUUCUACGAAGCUAACGACACCGAUGGAAAUUAACGAGGUAGCGCCAACGACCUCAGAGGAUAACAUCCGAAUUCCGAAAUGGGAAUUGCUAUCGAGCGAUCGACGAAUCGAUGACAGUUCUGCGAAUUUCUACGAAUUUUAUGAGAAGCGAAGCCUCGUUUCUCGCGAGUGUAAUCAGUUCGACAACGUCGUACCGUGACUUAGCGAACGUUGCUUUAGCAAAUUUCAAAAGUAAAAAAAGAUACGAGAGCGGUAAUUGAAAAGGAAAAGAAAAGAAAAAUCGAGACAAGGAGAAAUCGUACAACGAAAGAAACUAUCGCGAUUUCACGAUGAAGUCGAUGUCCAUGUGCCGAGUGGGAGUUCCAGGAAAGCCCCCGACGUAUAAAUAUUCUAAUUAAGCGCAUAAUUAGCGAACAGCGAUGAAUUAUCGUAAACGCCGGCCAAACGUAUUUUCAUACGUUAUCGCGGCAACAAUAUCUUGUCCCGAUAUCUCUUUAUCGAUUUAAUUAAGCCGAACUACUUGGAACACGCCUGUCGGAAAACGUACAGCCGCUGACUCGAUCAUAGCAACUCGCUUAAUUGACUCAUUCUUGACUAUCGCCACUAGGAACACAGUUGCGAUCGAACGUUAUUCGAUUUGGCUGGCUAGAUAUCUGAUAACGACGUCUGUUCGUGCAUUUGCAAGUUUGUAAGGUUUAAACGAAGGCCAUUCGGAGAGAACAUUAUCUCGUUGUUUAAAGGUUAAGCAAAAUAGCGAAGAGGGAAGUGAAAAUGCAACUUGUGUGGUAUUAAUGGAGAGCGUAAAUUUUAAUUGGAAUUAAUGUGGCUGCAAGGUAUUUCUAUCGUUAUUUUUCCUUUUCCUUUUCUUUUCUUUCUUUUUUUUUUUUUUUUUUUCUUUGGUGCGUGAAACCUGGCUCGAUGUGAAUUAUUGCACAGGUGUCUUUGGAAAAUUUGUUUCGUAACGCUGGCGAUUUCAGUGUAACGAAAAAUGAUACCAGACAGAGUAUUUUCGCGUUAUGUUGUUUCCACAUCGAGUUUCUUUCUUUAUUCUCAAAUAUUCGCAAUUGUAUUUAUAAGAAAAGCUAUUACCAAUUAUAUCUAAAAUGUUAAAUACAAAUAUUCUUUGUAAAUUUCUCUUUUAAAUACUCGGUACAUUUUACGUCUUACAUAGGCGAUCCGAUAAUUUACAAUUACCAUAUGUCGUGUGAGUCGAUGAACUUUGUUCGUUACAAACAUGGUUUCAAAAUCUCUUGAAAUUAGUUGCGGUAUUAUCUUUCAUUUAUACGACGUAUCUACACCGUACCCUUUGUCGCGAAUUCUAAGUGUGACACGAGCAACGACUCUAAUUAUUCAGGAAUGAAAACUGUCCGCAAUGGGCCGACUUAUGACAUUUCAAACAGCAUAAAAUGAACUACGAGGGAGCAGUCUUAUGUAAAAUUCAUCGAUAUCGUUCGAUGCGCACCAAAUAUUUUAACCUCGUUAAAGUUUACUGUUUAGAAAACGAGAUGCUCAAAUUCUUUCCGUACGGUUUAUGAAUAAUCGCUGGUAGAACAACGUGUAAACUUCACCGAUAGUAUCAGAACUAAAUCAGGAUGAGCAUCGUGCGUUUAUAAAUUGUUACAUUAGAAGAAAUGUUUUAGUCUAACAGUUUGAACGCUAAUUCGAUUAACGGGUUGACUGCAGCUCGAAUUUGAUGUAUUUUAUUUUGUCAGCCGCGACACAUCGAAAUAUAUCGUACCACAACGUUUCAAGUAACAGCAGCAGCAGCUUGAAAGAGGAAUAAGGCAGAAACAGAAGAGAAACGCGUGCAAUGGACGGCGCUCCAAUUAAUGGGCCGGUCCAAGGCGGUCAGAAAAAAACGUCAUCGAGUUCUAUUUACGAGCUGUUCUUUAAAAUCGCGUUAGUCGAAGCCCGUGGCACGGACACCAUUGACGGCAACCAUACGCUUCUUGGGGCCUGAUAUGAUGAGAGCCGCCUUAUAAGGGUUACAACCGGUGUUUAAAGUCACCAGCGGCGCGGCUUUCACCAAUUUAAAGUCAGAUUGCGACCCACCCGGCUUCUAAUCGCCUCUCAUCUAUACACACAGAGAAUCGUACGCCCGUAAUCGAUCCGCCGAUUUCGCCUUGUAGCCAAGAAGACGGCUGUGAUUCGUUGCUUUGCUAUUGUGUCGUUCUAAUUGGCCUGGUUCUUUAAUCAGAUCGAUCCUUUUAAUUAACUUGUUGUUCAGACGCUUAUAGAGAACGAGCUGAAAGUAACGAAUAAAAGACGAAAGCCUCGGAAUUCCUGCCUUUAGAUACGAACGAUUUAUGUAUUUUAUGAGCCAUUGACGAAUGUCUAUAAUUCAAGAGAGGAGAACGAAUCUACACGUUAGAACAAAUAAGAAACUUCAUAUGAACGUACGUAAUGGAUGCGAUUAACCUUGCGAAUUUGAACAAAAAUGUCUAAUCUGUCGGCUCGGGAAGUCUAGAGACACCAAGAGGAAAAUAAUUGAGACACAUGUAAUAUAUGCUGCAAUUUCAGUCGUUCGAUCGCGAAAAGUUUGAUUAUCCGAUUUCUCGGUGAUUAAGCAGUUCGGAUAGUCAAGGCUCUAUUGUACAUUUAUUGAUACGAGAAAGAAAAGUAUCGAGGAACGUGGUGAAAUCUCGGAACGAUGUAUUCGUCCCGGUUGGUCCCAGGAAUUUUUCAACGACAUCCGCGGCCCAUUGUGGUUGACUAAUAUACCGCUACAGCGCGUUAACCUUCCAAAGGUAGGAGGAAGGUGCGCCACACCCCCGUCUCUCUUUCGCCGUGAACCACGAGAGCAACGAGAGAUACAGCAACAAUGGCCUCCGUAGAUGGAAGAUUGCACGGAAAGGUGCAACGUUCACGUGCAAAGGUCGCCACGGUUGAAUCGGGUAAACGAGGAUAAUGUCGUGGCCCGACUAUCAUAGGUGAAUUUUAUUGCCGUGAAAAAGAAGGCUUGCCGCAUCUUAGACGCGUCUGCAUGCGAGAUCUGCUCGGACCGUGAGCCUAUUGUCCGCGAAUAGAAAGAAAGAAAGUCUUUCGUGCAACGCUAGGAUCUAAAUCGGUCGAGAACGUUGUGUGCGAAUUGCGAGGUCGUUUUUCCUUUUUUUUUUUUUUCUUUUUGUUUCAGAUCGUCUGGAUUGUUCCGUACAUUUUUGCUACACUUUGUUGUAGAGUGAGAGUUGCACAGAAUUAAUUUCCUUCGAUUGGAAUGUACACAGGUGCAUACGAAUAUUCAACGGUUUCUAUGUGGAUAAUAAACGAAAGCCAUUCAGACUUUUCGCAACUUGUCGAAUUAAAUUGUUGCAAGAAUGUAUGAAAAAUUUCAAACACGAUAGUACAUCGUACUAAAGCUACUCUGUAAACGUGAUGGAAAAGUAAAGAAAUGUGAUGUUUGAGACGUGAUAUUUACACACAAGUCGGUAUAACGUUAUACUUAGAGCCGCGUAACAAAGUCUAAUCGAUGUAAAUUAAAUCGUAAACGAAUAACGAAAUUUCACGUAGCGAAAUUAUUUACAAUUCGCUUAUUCAAUCUAAAAGUGCAAUCUUAGUAUCUAUAUACGAAACGAUAGAUCGUAAUGUAUACGUGAAGUUAUUCGCAUUAUUUCACUCUCUUUCGUAACGUGCCCAAACUGUGUACAAAUGCAAUAUGGGACGCGUUACCUUACGCGUUUACGGGACAAGAUCCUUAAGGAUUAUUAAUGCGUACCAUCGUUUACGCCAAAUAAAAAUCCAAGAAGUUCGUGAGAACGUAACAUUUUCAGCAACUCUAAUAACGUAUCUUAACAUUGCUAUCUUCUUCUACUUCUUCUUCCUCUUUGGCUAAUUCUCGACACGUUGAAGAGAUUACAAUAAGGAGAGAGAGAGAGAGAGAGAGAGAGAGAGAGAAAGAAAGAAAGAAGAAAUAUUGUUAAUUGUUCCUUGAAAUAAACUGUGAAGGAUGUUAACGACUUGAAUAAGCAAUGGAGGCUGAAGCGAAUUUCCUCUCGGCACAGAAUCGAUUCCCGCCAACUGCGAUUCAUCAACGACAAUCGUUACUCGUGAUUCGCUUAAUCGUAAGCAUAAUUAUAUCGUUACCGCGUGAUUCAACGACGACAGACGUUGAGAGAGCCGUCGCGCCGAUUUGUUCACGUCGAAUAAUACUCAAGGUACCGUUGUAUUAUAAAACGAUCCCUUCCAAUUACGCUGCACUGCGUUCUUAAUUUAACGUUACUCCCCCAUGUGUUUAUAGAUAUAUACAUAUGUUAUAGAUAAAUAUAUAUAUAUAUAUAUAUAUGUAUCAUCUUUUUCUCUCACACCCUAUACCUUAGUUAAUAGGAAGCCUAAUCUUAAAGGACAACGGAGAACUUUGAUAUUGUUGGCCGUUGUCGAGAUGGCAAACCCAAUUCCAAGGUUACCAUGGUAACGAGAUAUAUCUGUUACGAGAUACUUUCAAUAUAAAUAAAUAAUUAAACGAAUAAACUAAAUAAUACUCAAACGGGGCUGCACGAUGCCCGAUGAAAAGAAAGCGACAGGCCAAGCUCGCGCUUUAUUACUCAUAAAUGGAUUCUUCUUUCUCAUUGAAUUAUAUGGUAAUUAAACGAAGAUUAACGAAAGAAAGGAACUUUAAUAAAGAAUCUCGACUAUAUGUAUAUAGGAAACUGUACGUGUUGGCCUAUCCAGUACAAAAGACAGAUCGUUAUAAUAUUAUAGAUCACAGAUUAUUGUGUUAUGUGAAUAAUUACAUUUUAUGUUGUUAACGAAGUCGUAAUAUAUAUAUAUAUACACACGCACACACACACACACACACACACACAUGUUUCUAUACGUAUACAGAUACAUAUACACAUAUGUAUGCAUUUAACGUUAACACAGCUCUCUCUCUCUCUCUCUUCUUUUUUCUUAAAUUUCUUUUCUCUAUCUUUCCCUGCUCCAUCUCGUUUUACUCUUGUCUCUUUCUCUGUUUCUUACCUUUCUACUUGUUUGCUCUCGCCAUGCAGCUGGAGAAGACUACUUGUAGAGGAUCGUUUUUGUUUUGUACUUAAGCGUGCUCGUACGCACCCGAACUAUGUUUUGUACCACGUGAAGAAUGGCAAUAAAGUAGUUGACCAAUUCCUUUUUUUAA